CCCAAAGUCAUGGUUAAGUGGGAAACGAUGUGGGAAGGCCCAGACAGCCAGGAUGUUGGCUUAGAAGCAGCCAUCAUUUAAAGAAAGCGUAAUAGCUCACUGGUCGAGUCGGCCUGCGCGGAAGAUGUAACGGGGCUAAACCAUGCACCGAAGCUGCGGCAGCGACGCUUAUGCGUUGUUGGGUAGGGGAGCGUUCUGUAAGCCUGUGAAGGUGUGCUGUGAGGCAUGCUGGAGGUAUCAGAAGUGCGAAUGCUGACAUAAGUAACGAUAAAGCGGGUGAAAAGCCCGCUCGCCGGAAGACCAAGGGUUCCUGUCCAACGUUAAUCGGGGCAGGGUGAGUCGACCCCUAAGGCGAGGCCGAAAGGCGUAGUCGAUGGGAAACAGGUUAAUAUUCCUGUACUUGGUGUUACUGCGAAGGGGGGACGGAGAAGGCUAUGUUGGCCGGGCGACGGUUGUCCCGGUUUAAGCGUGUAGGCUGGUUUUCCAGGCAAAUCCGGAAAAUCAAGGCUGAGGCGUGAUGACGAGGCACUACGGUGCUGAAGCAACAAAUGCCCUGCUUCCAGGAAAAGCCUCUAAGCAUCAGGUAACAUCAAAUCGUACCCCAAACCGAC
This 611-nucleotide ribosomal RNA is filed under the name Staphylococcus capitis. RNAcentral's name for it is "partial 23S ribosomal RNA". It matches the Rfam family "Bacterial large subunit ribosomal RNA", at positions 1046 to 1658 of the family's 2925-position model. Lineage: Bacteria; Bacillati; Bacillota; Bacilli; Caryophanales; Staphylococcaceae. The record is from RNAcentral.